This 423-nucleotide ribosomal RNA is filed under the name uncultured prokaryote. RNAcentral's name for it is "bacterial SSU rRNA". It matches the Rfam family "Bacterial small subunit ribosomal RNA", at positions 355 to 796 of the family's 1533-position model. The record is from RNAcentral.
UGGGGAAUCUUAGACAAUGGGGGCAACCCUGAUCUAGCCAUGCCGCGUGAGUGACGAAGGUCUUAGGAUCGUAAAGCUCUUUCGCCGGGGAAGAUAAUGACGGUACCCGGUAAAGAAGUCCCGGCUAACUCCGUGCCAGCAGCCGCGGUAAUACGGAGGGACUAGCGAUGUUCGGAAUUACUGGGCGUAAAGCGCGCGUAGGCGGAUAUUUAAGUCAGGGGUGAAAUCCCGGGGCUCAACCCCGGAACUGCCCUUGAUACUGGAUGUCUGGAGUUCGAGAGAGGUGAGUGGAAUUCCGAGUGUAGAGGUGAAAUUCGUAGAUAUUCGGAGGAACACCAGUGGCGAAGGCGGCUCACUGGCUCGAUACUGACGCUGAGGUGCGAAAGCGUGGGUAGCGAACAGGAUUAGAUACCCCUGUAGUCC